RNAcentral lists this ribosomal RNA (493 nucleotides) under uncultured bacterium. RNAcentral describes it as "bacterial SSU rRNA". It matches the Rfam family "Bacterial small subunit ribosomal RNA", at positions 29 to 502 of the family's 1533-position model. The record is from RNAcentral.
AACGAGCGUUAGCGGCGUGCCUAACACAUGCAAGUCGCACGAGAAAGGGCUUCGGCCCCGGUAAAGUGGCGCACGGGUGAGUAACACGUAGGUAACCUACCCUCGAGUGGGGGAUAACCCUCCGAAAGGAGAGCUAAUACCGCAUGAGACCACGGCUCCCUAGGGAGCUGAGGUCAAAGCGGGCCUCUGCUUGCAAGCUCGCGCUUGAGGAUGGGCCUGCGGCCUAUCAGCUAGUUGGUGGGGUAAAAGCCCACCAAGGCAGAGACGGGUAGCUGGUCUGAGAGGAUGAACAGCCACACUGGAACUGAGACACGGUCCAGACUCCUACGGGAGGCAGCAGUGGGGAAUCUUGCGCAAUGGGCGAAAGCCUGACGCAGCGACGCCGCGUGAGUGAUGAAGGCCUCGGUUGUAAGCUCUGUGGAGAGGGAAGGAAUAAGGGCGAGCUAAUACCUCGUUCGAUGACGGUACCUCUUUAGUCAAGCACCGGCUAACU